UGGGGAAUAUUGCACAAUGGGCGCAAGCCUGAUGCAGCCAUGCCGCGUGUGUGAAGAAGGCCUUCGGGUUGUAAAGCACUUUCAGCGGGGAGGAAGGCGAUAAGGUUAAUAACCUUGUCGAUUGACGUUACCCGCAGAAGAAGCACCGGCUAACUCCGUGCCAGCAGCCGCGGUAAUACGGAGGGCGCAAGCGUUAAUCGGAAUUACUGGGCGUAAAGCGCACGCAGGCGGUCUGUCAAGUCGGAUGUGAAAUCCCCGGGCUCAACCUGGGAACUGCAUUCGAAACUGGCAGGCUAGAGUCUUGUAGAGGGGGGUAGAAUUCCAGGUGUAGCGGUGAAAUGCGUAGAGAUCUGGAGGAAUACCGGUGGCGAAGGCGGCCCCCUGGACAAAGACUGACGCUCAGGUGCGAAAGCGUGGGGAGCAAACAGG
Molecule: ribosomal RNA, 429 nt
Filed under: Chloroflexota bacterium
Lineage: Bacteria; Bacillati; Chloroflexota
Description: Chloroflexi bacterium partial 16S ribosomal RNA
Rfam family: Bacterial small subunit ribosomal RNA
Source: RNAcentral